UAAAUGCCCACUUUCUACUUUCGCUAUCAGCAUCCCAGGUGGUGCAAUUAAUAAAGAGCUAGCGUGGGGCCACUGGCACAAACAAGGCAGCUCCUUAGAACCUGAACUUCCUAUUUGUUCCAUUCCUUGGGUAGAUAACGCCUGUUAAUUACUCUGGAGGUUUUGUUAGAACAUUCUAUCUGGUCUCGCUGGAUCAAGCUCUCCUCUCCAGAUCGCCCUAUAUGGGGAACUGAAAAUAAUCCUCGUUUCAAUAAAAU
Herpailurus yagouaroundi (jaguarundi) is the source of this 257-nucleotide long non-coding RNA. RefSeq lists it as uncharacterized. The transcript is spliced from 3 exons. Lineage: Eukaryota; Metazoa; Chordata; Mammalia; Carnivora; Felidae. The record is from RefSeq and is a predicted model, not a curated record.